Molecule: long non-coding RNA, 2770 nt
Filed under: Ananas comosus (pineapple)
Lineage: Eukaryota; Viridiplantae; Streptophyta; Magnoliopsida; Poales; Bromeliaceae
Description: long non-coding RNA (ACOM_LNC033526)
Source: RNAcentral
UCCUAACUGAUGUAGAGAUUCAGCAACGCUAUGCAUUACUUGAGACCUCAAAUGCUAUCAUGCACUGAGCAAUUUGUAGGUGAGCUUUGCUCUAAGUCUGCUGGUGUAACAUCUUGAGUUCUUGACAUCGGCACAUUGGCCCAUAUGACUGGCACUUUAGACCACCUCUCGGACUUGCAAGAUGUUCCAUAUGGUUUUUUUGUUCAUGAUCUUAAUGGAAAGAUACUGCAUGCUCGAAAAUUGGACGCAUCAAACUUGGCCUUAAUCUCUUCCUUAAAGAUGUUUUAUAUAUUCUAGAGUGUCAUUGCUAUCCAUUUGACAAUUGAGUCGUGAUUUACAUUGUUGUGUAACAUUCUUUUCCAAUGUAUGCAUCUUGCAGGACCUAGCUUCGAAGAGAUCGAUUGGAGUAGGUGAGUUGCGGAAUAGGGUUUAUCACUUAAGGCAUGUGUUGCAAUCAUCAGCCUUCGCAGCAAUUCAUGGUGUUGAUGAAUCAGAGAUUUGGCACAUAUGAUGUCACGCCUGGGGCCUAUUUUGUAAGCAUUUCUCAAAAAAAGGGACCAGUCUGAAAAUAGAGUCAACAGACAGUGCUCUUUUUUUUUCAAAAGAUAACCUUGCCUAUAGGAUGGAACAAACCCGCAACAAACACAGGGACUCCUCUGUUCACAUGGAUAAAGUUUCUUCUAUAUUUGCAUGACGUACCACUACAAGAAAUUACCACAACGCACAUAUACACUCAUAGAACUCAGCAAUCACAAUAAAGAUGCUCAUUAUAUUCCAAAACUACCAAUCAAUAAUAAACAAGCAUUCAGAUAACUAAAUCAUAAUUUGUCUACUUAUUCACAAUAACCAUAAAGGAAAGGAUAGAACAAACCAAGUUCAGUGGAUGGAAAUAUACGAGAACUCUAGGCUCACUAUCUAUGAUGCGUCUCAUGCACCAUCCUGAUCCUCACCGCCAAGAUCACCUAAAAUGAGGGGGUGAGAAACCAAUAAGAUGUCUCCUAGUGGAAACCAUAAGCGAACGGUGGCAAGUGUACUCACUGGCAACCAAGAGAUAUAAUAGCAUAAUAUGAAAUAUACAGUAGCAAGUAUGAACUAAAAAGAAAUAAGUACAAGUAUGCAACUGCUACUACUGUAAAAGUAAGAACAUGCGUCAACGCGACGAAUAGUCCAAAAAUAUCCAAUCCAUCCGUGAUGUCGGUCUAAAGACCUUAAAUAAUGCCACGUCUUCUCUACCUGGCAUAUGAUACUAAUAAUAGACCACUUAGUGUUCACGGAUUGGAAAUAAGACAACUUUUUCGAAAAAAACACCGAUGCGAUGGCAAAACAACGGAUGUACAUGAAAUGCACACGAGCUAUGGCGAUCGAUACAAUAUGAUCAAUAGCCAUCCGUCAGCAAAUAGCCGAAAUAUACCAACCAACUAGACCACCCAAUCUCAUAAAUCUCACAACAAGCCGACCACUCAGGUCCAUUCCGUGAUACGUCAUGUAUAGUCAUCAUAUAGUACCGCUCUACUAGUGAGUCACAAUGAACAUAAAUGAAAGCAAAAGUAGAAUAAUAGAAAGUAAAGUCAUGUGGUGAAGUCCUCAACAUGCAACGUGUGUAUAUAAACAGGUGAAGGGAGAAGGGAAAUAAUAUCACUGAGCUAGCACCACAAUACCGAUAUCGGAAAGAGUACCCACCUAUAACGAAAAAUGCACCUAACACUCAAUGUGCACCAAAUCGUCAACCAGACGUACGAAAGUUCCAAAAGUCAAGAUCUAACCCUAAGUGACCCAAAAUCAUUAAUACACAUCCCAAUAAUCACCAGAAAAUUGAAUCUUUUAUCGAUUCUCGAUACCCACCGAAAUCUUUUGGAAUCCACCAGAACACUUCCGAAAUUCCCGAAGUGCCCCGAAAGGUACCAACUCACCCCGUAAACCACCUGUUGAUCCAAAUCACACCAACUUGGGUGCCUGGGCAGCAAACACAUAAUGUUGUGCCAUUAAUUGCAUUUAAUAAUAAUAACAUCGUACCGGGUUCCCAGAUAUGCCAAUUUUUGCUCCGGAACUCUCUGCUGCUUACUCAAUAUCUCCGGGCAGGCACCAGCAAGAACAACCAACUAACAUGGCUCGGGGACAAGGCACAGGGCGUUCACGUAAAAAUCCAAACCAAAAAUACAUUCUUCCGACGAUUUUGCCAAAAAAUGCAACAAAAUCCUAAUUUAAGCAUGUAAAGGCCACUGACUCUUGGACGAUCAGUCCAAGGUCCCACACUACAAUUUCACACUGCCCGAGGCAAUCCCACAACAUCAUAGUCGUAGUAAAGCCCCUAACUUUAUUUCUAUUAACAAAUAUUAUAUAGAAACUAGAAUUUUUGAGCUGUUACCAGAUUCUGCGAGGAUCAGGGACCAAGCAGUAGUGUCGGCUGAUAGGUCUCGAUGCGCCGAAGUUCAUGCUCGCUGUCUAGAACGCAAAUAGAGACCGAGGAAAGCGAGAGGGCUACAUGCACGAAAAUUCUCUGGGUUAUCGGGAGCAAUAAAGCCAAAACCAUGACACAAGGCCUCUUUGGCAGCAACGAAUGUGAGCAUAGGGGUCAGCGACACCUCAGGGAAAUCGUGCUCACCUUCAGAGAGGCCACCGACACAUUAGAUGGCUAGAACUACGAAGUUGUCCAAAAGAUGCCCUAACUCGAACUAGGGCUGGAGCUGACCUUCUCCUGAGCUCCGUCAACCAAGCAGCACACGCGCCAAUACGAGAAGGGUCGUGCUCGAUAGGAGCAGGUCGAAGGAGG